CCGCUCGCAGCCACAGGAACGGACAGCGAUACGCACGAGGCAAGCAAGGACCAUCUCCACCCGGGAAGGAAAAUCAAAGAACUGCGGCACUUGUUCACUGUAAGGAUACCACACUUGACCUUUGAGCUUUCAGCCGGCAGACAGAUUGAAUCUCGGGCAGUGGAGAGGAUCAUUAUGAUCGCAUCCUCCUUUUAAGAUCAAAUCUCCAUGGUAGCAGUGAUGGUUUUGGGAGAGAGAACCAUCCUGGUUAUCUCAGGUUCCCGUUCUCUGCCUUGAUGCUCACUUCAGACCAACCCCUCAGGACCAAGAGCGGCAAAGAGAAACCAGCAAGAAACGAUAUGACUGCGACAAGGUGUGUGGCUGAGGUUGGAUCCUCUCAGAAAUUGGGUGUUAUCUUUUUCAUGAAGCAAAGUUGAUGGACAAAGAGUUUUUCCUAUUUUUGCAUAGACAUUCAUGCACCACAUCUGGGAACCAAGUGGGAAGGGGACAUAAAAACUUUGAGUGGGUAUUUCCCUUCAUUCCCUAAGAGGCCUGUUGUAAAGCCUGGAUAUUUAGCUGUGGGAGAGCUCGAGUACACACUCACUUAUGGGAAGAUGGAGGCAGGAGCGGAGACUAGUCCACAACAGCAGCCGAGGAGGAAACCUGUGCUGCACUGCUUGGAGGACCAGAAAAGGGUCUCUCAACAGAAACCCACAUAUGCAUGCCAGAUGGAGGUUUGAGCAGAGUAAGAGGGUGCUGUGAGAUGAAUCUUAAAAUUUGUCUCAUGCUGUUGGUCUGCCAGUUUCCUUCAGCUGCCCCAACCUCAAUAUGUUUAAAUAAAUAUUUUGAUAUAUUUUGUUAUUUUUAUUUACUAUGUGCAGGCUGUUU
Micropterus dolomieu (smallmouth bass) is the source of this 867-nucleotide long non-coding RNA. RefSeq lists it as uncharacterized. Lineage: Eukaryota; Metazoa; Chordata; Actinopteri; Centrarchiformes; Centrarchidae. The record is from RefSeq and is a predicted model, not a curated record. The transcript is spliced from 5 exons.